UACGUAGGGGGCAAGCGUUGUCCGGAUUUAUUGGGCGUAAAGAGCGUGUAGGCGGCUUUGCAAGUCCGUUGUGAAAACUCGAGGCUCAACCUCGAGACGCCGGUGGAAACUGCAAAGCUAGAGUCCGGAAGAGGAGAGUGGAAUUCCUGGUGUAGCGGUGAAAUGCGCAGAUAUCAGGAGGAACACCGAUUGCGAAGGCAGCUCGCUGGGACGUAACUGACGCUGAGACGCGAAAGCGUGGGGAGCAAACAGG
This 253-nucleotide ribosomal RNA is filed under the name uncultured bacterium. RNAcentral describes it as "partial 16S ribosomal RNA". It matches the Rfam family "Bacterial small subunit ribosomal RNA", at positions 524 to 776 of the family's 1533-position model. The record is from RNAcentral.